ACGGGAUGUGAAUGGAGGGGAAAGUUGAAGCACCCUCCUCGCACGAGCGGGACGUACGUUAUUGAUUCCACCUGCACUAGCGGCAAGCGGUGCAAACGCCUGCCGCUGCAACCCUACGCUUCUCUUAGUCACAGCCGCCACCACCGCCGAACGCCGAUAGCCGUCGUGUGCCUUUGCAAACGUUUUAGUAUAGUUUCAAUAGCGAAGAAAUGAGCACUUACUCCUCCACUUGGAAUCGAUUUUGAACGCCGACACAGCGCGGUCGAUUGUAACUGACAGGAUUUCAAGUACCUGUUGUUUUGAAUUUAAGUGGACAUUUAUUCAAGCACAACUAAAGGACUUUUUCAAGUAUCAAACGUUCAAGGAUAUUUAAGGUAUAGACAACAUUGAUUGCAGACGAAAUAAACCAUAUAUACACCACCAGACAAAGAAGUCCAUCAUAGAAUUGAGCAGUAAUACUACUGUUGUAUUAUUCACAAAAUUUUAGCCUUAUAAUAUUACCCAUAUUAGUUUACUACUACAGUUACCAUUAACAGCAUUGUCAUUGCCAGAGUGAGUAAAUCAUCUAUAAUAAUUUAUUUAUGAUAUUUAGAAUCUGUAUCAAUUUAUUUGUAAUAUUUAUUAGCAAAUAUCAUGUUGUCUAAUAAGGCAAUUUAAUAAAUAAAAACUAAAUUAAACGUUGUCUUUAAGUGGAGUAAAAAAGAUUGUUUUCAUUUAAUUCAUUUUAAACUUGAAUAAAGAUAUUGUAUGUUAUUGAUGCACUAUAGAUUAACUAGGUUUCAACUAUUUUAGUGUUAUCUGUUAAUGACAUCUAAGCUAGGCUGACUGUGAAUUUGGUUAGUACUAAUAAAUAAAUAAUAAAACUACUUCAAAUAAUAGCAAUAUUAAAAACGGUUAAGGGUUAAUUAAAUAUAAAUAAACUGAUGGUUAUUGUAAAAUACUAUUUAAAUAUUCUACUGUAAUAUUGCCGUUUAGUAUACGUAUAAUGAUAGUACACCGGAUAAUGAUUAUUUCAAUAAAGAGACUAAAUAGUUCUAUUACUGCUAUGAGCUAAAUAACAUACUCAGUAAUAAGAUCAGUCAUAAAACACCAGCAGAAGCUGAUCAAUAAGUCUCUAAAUACAAUUUAAUGUAAUCCAUGGCAUAAAAAACAUGCAAAAAUCAGUCAUGUGCCACAUAUAUGGUUAAAUAAGAAUGAAAUACAUAUCACGGUUAAUUUGAAGUGUAAAAGAGGCAACAAUGAUGAAAAUUUACAAAUUAUUAGGUAUUAGGUAAUUUGACAUUGUUGUAUAUUUUAGGACAAAGUAUAUACUUAAAAGCUGACUGACUGGUAUACUACAGACAAAUAACUACUUUUAUUUUUGUUUUUCUCUUAUAAUAUUAAACAACACAGCGUUUUUAAUUUUAACAUUUAUCUACUAAAGUGCGUAAAGAACUAAAUAAUUAUAAAAAAAAAAUUAAUAUUUGUAAAUAAUAAAUUGAAAUGAAGGAUUUAUGACGUAGGUAUCUAACACUACUUUGUUAAUUAUUGACUUUUCUUAUUAUAGUAUAUACGUAUUACUACAUUCACAAAUAGUAGAGAACAUCUACACAGUAACUAAAUAAACCAAUAAAUAAUAAUAAAAAAAAAUUUAUAAGUGUACAAUUAAAUACUUCUUAAAGCUAUUAUUUUUCAUGAUAAAUAGUAGUUAAUAUUACUCUACAAAAAAGAUACAUCUAAAACUAAAAAUACUGUUAAAAUACACACCAAGUCUAAUAUAUGACAUUGACAUUAAAAAUAUACACUUAGUACGGGUAGUUGUAUUUUUAAAUACUAAAAAAAAAAAAAAAAAACCAAAAAGUUUAAGUAUAAAUCUACGAUGUACAACAUGAAGUUGUCAGAUUAAGUAAAAGCAUCACUAACCCUCUUUUGUAUAGUAAUUAUGUGUUUACAAGUGUAAGUUAAUACAUUACAUAUAAUUGCUUUUGUUGUUUUAUUAACUCUCAAAUAUUACAAAAAUAGAGGGCUUACCAACUAUCAUAACUAGACUAAGAAAGUUAAUGUUAAAAAAAAAUAUAUAAUAAUAAUAAUAAUAAUAAUAGUAAACAAAGAGAUCAAUAACCAUUUAAGUAUUAUUGCUUUACAUACAUAAUAUAAUAAUGUUUCUAAUUAGUAUUGUCCAGUCGAUUCAGUGCUUUUUUCGUAACUUUUACUUGUUUUACAUAAAUUCUAAAAACUAAGAACUAUAUAAUGCAAAAGUAAAAUGUGAUUUAUAUUUUAAUAACUUUAAAAUACUUUUUUGUUUGAAUUUAUUUGGAGCACUUUUUUAGUGUCUAACUAGAAUUAUACAUCCGAUUAUUUACGGAACUGUGUGAGAUAAUUAUUUAAAAUUAUUUUUGCAACAUUGGCAUUGAUGAAAAUAAAAUAAAAUAAAAAAUGAAACGAUCUAAGACGGACAGCUAAGGUAAAUAUUGAACGACUCUUUCGUCUACAGUUUGAAAUUCGACUAUAAACAAAUAAUAAAAAUCAAAAGAUAUACACACGUUGAAUGAAAUUUGCAAUUAAGUAUUUAUUUUUAACAGUACUCCCGCCCUACGUGGCGCGCUACUACUAAAGAAAAUGAGAUAUUACAAGAAUUUGAUUAAAAGUUAUUUUGGAUAAGAAGAAAAGUAGACGAUAUUACAAUAUUAUGUAUAUCUUAUACAGAAAUUCGGAGAAGAAAUAUUGAAUGAAUUAUGAAAAAACAAUCGGCUAGAUGUUAUAAGAAGAAAUAAAAAAAUUAAUUGUCAUGAAGAACGUUGGUGAGAUUUUGGUCCUUAAUGGAAUGUAUCUUAUCUACUGAUCGUAUUGGAAUUUGUUUAUUAUUUUUAACAGUACAUCAAAACUAAUACAAUAACACGUUAAUUAGACACUAAUUACACUACUAUUCAGAAAAUCGAAAAUAUUUAAAAUUAAUAGUUAAUAGUAAUUAAAAAAUAAUAAAACACGUUAAUUAAUUAUAUUAUUAUAAAUAAUUAUAAUAAUACAACUGACUAGAAAUCGUUCGUUUUUUUUAAAAAUCCAAUGAAAAUAUAACUCACGACAAUGAGGCAGUGGUAUGGCACAUGCGCGAAUGAUCUUCAAGGGAUCUGUGGCUGUCAGCCUUGUCGAUUUGUGAAAAAAUAAACAAUAUUAAGUGUAAUAAUUAUAGUAUUUUAUAUGAUAAUAAAAUUGAAAUGAUUUUUUUUUCGGAUGUUUAAGUAGAUAUUUUUUUUUCGAAUUAAAAAAAAUAAUUUCAACGAUAGAAUGUGUCUGAGCAAAGAGAAUGAUUUUCGUUUGAUCGCCUAUAAAUAUUGACCAGGCCACCAACGCUAGGAUGAUGAACGGGACAAGCCUAAACGUACAUGCCACCCAUACCGUACAUGGAUGACCAGUCGAUACCUUGGAAGCCACUCAUGUCGAUGCCAGAUAGACUGUACGCUGGAUAGGCCGCUUGCGUGGCUGCAGCUGCUGCUGCGGCUUGCACGGGUUGAGCAGCGGCUGCGGCCGCUUGAGGAGCCGCCGCUGCGGUGACCGGCACUGGAUAUGGAGAAUAACGGUAGCUAGCUAGUCCUGGGUACGUUGCGAACAAUUUAUUGUAAUUGUGAGCAGCCACUGCGGCCGCUGCAGCUUGAGCCUGAGCCUGAGCUUGCGCCUGGGCUUGUUGUACGGCAGCCAACUGAUGUGUAGCUUGCGACACGGGUGCAGCGGCAACACGAACUCCCAAAGGACCGCCGACUAGUACGGGACGUUUGCCUAAUAACAAACCAGCUGCAGCGGCUGCUGCAGGCUGCACUAGUUCUUUGGGCUGAGCCUUUUUGCAUUCCACUUUUUUGUUCUUAAUAGUGUGGAAGUGGAUCUCACAUAUGGUAUCAACUAUAUCAUCAUUUUCAAACGUCACAAACCCAAAACCUCUGUGUCUCUUGGUGUGCUGGUCCAUCAGCAUCACCGUCUCUUCAACUUUCCCGAAUUGACUGAAAUACGCUUUGACUUCUUCGGCAGUGGUAUCCUGACUAACACCUCCUACAAAGAUCUUUUUUGUCUUGCUUCCAGCCUUAGGGCGAUUCUUGGGGGUCGCAUGCUUCGGGUCAAUCUUUUUACCGUCUAACGUGUGUAUGGGCACAGCCAAGACUUUUUCAACAGUCUCGGCGUCAGAAAAUGUGAUAAAUCCAAAACCGCGACUCCGCUGAAAAUGAAAACAAUAUAUAAUUAGAAAAAUUUACUAACGUGCCAAGUGUUGAUUUUACCUGAGUUAUGGGGUCUUUCAUUAUCAGUACGUUUGUAACGUCACCAAACAUACCAAAGUAUUGUUUGAGUUUAUCGGCCGAUGUCUGCCAGCUGAGUCCACCGACAAACAGUUUAGCUGAAGUACCUUCGGUGCUACUGUUCGGCGUGGAUCUACCGCUUGGUGAUUGAGCUGACGAAGAGUCCAUACCGUUUUGUUUGAGUCCGCCGUUCAUGUUAUUCAUCUGGGCUUGUUGUUGUUGAGAUGCAGCCACUGCUGCUACAGCUGCAGCUACUACCGCCGCAUUUUCUUGAGACCCGUUGGUUCCGUUUUGCAACGGAGAACUGCCCUUGACUGUGACGGCGGUGGCCGGUUGUGGUUGAGCGAUUUUCACUAAUCCUGCCGGUGGAACUCGAACCGUUUGAUGAUGAGGGUGAAGCGCUAAUGGCAUUGGUGUAGCGGCCAUUGCGGCCAUAGGCUGCGGCAAGCCUAUGCCACCAGCAGCAAGCAUGCCGCUGAAAUCAGCCGCGUGCUCAGCUAGUGUAGCCAUUUGAUCCACUCCCAAACUAAAAAAAAAUUUACACAUAAAUUAUUAGUAAAGCUUUUUUGUUAUUAAAAUUAAAACUUUUUGAAUUAUUUCAUUAUUUUUUUUACAGACUCUAUAGUCGUUCCAAAUAGCGAACUUGGAAUGUUCACCAAAGAAUCACUACAUAAACACUAAUGAUCAAAUUCAACCAAAACAAGUGAUAACUUGAAGAAAGUAAUCUAAAUCAAACUACUUCACUUGUGUUAUGUAUAUAACAUACGGUACUCAUGGAUUAACAAUAUACAUAUAAAAGAGAACAACACUCCGAUAUUGUCCUGUCACAGCAGUAAUGUCACAUUUAUGAAUCGUACUGCUGUUGCGGGACAUUUUCAGAGCUGUCGUUUGUAAACGAUAUAUGGACUAUUCAUAAAAUGACAAAAGUUAUGAGAAAAUCUCUAGUUCAAAAAUGGGAAAAUUUACUGGAUACUUCCCCUUUUUGUUAAAACAAAUAUAAGAAUUUGAAAAAUAUUUUCCAUUAAAUAUUGUUUACGUUUUAUGAAAAACUUAAAUUUUGUUGAAUAUUUAACACCGACAUUAUUUUAAGUCAUGUAUUAAUUAGUGAAAAAUUAAAUAAAAUUAAAAAAAAAACUAUUUUUAAAAAAUUUGAAACAUAAUAAAAUAGCUUUAAAGCUUUAAUAAUUAUA
This is a long non-coding RNA of Daktulosphaira vitifoliae (grape phylloxera), 5452 nucleotides long. RefSeq lists it as uncharacterized. The transcript is spliced from 4 exons. NCBI's taxonomy places the organism in Eukaryota, Metazoa, Arthropoda, Insecta, Hemiptera, Phylloxeridae. The record is from RefSeq and is a predicted model, not a curated record.